Molecule: ribosomal RNA, 398 nt
Filed under: uncultured bacterium
Lineage: Bacteria
Description: bacterial SSU rRNA
Rfam family: Bacterial small subunit ribosomal RNA
Source: RNAcentral
GGAAUAUUGGACAAUGGGCGAAAGCCUGAUCCAGUAAUGCCGCGUGAGUGAUGAAGGCCUUAGGGUUGUAAGGCUCUUUUACCCGGGAUGAUAAUGACAGUACCGGGAGAAUAAGCCCCGGCUAACUCCGUGCCAGCAGCCGCGGUAAUACGGAGGGGGCUAGCGUUGUUCGGAAUUACUGGGCGUAAAGCGCGCGUAGGCGGCGAUCCAAGUCAGGGGUGAAAUCCCGGGGCUCAACCCCGGAACUGCCCUUGAAACUAGGUUGCUAGAAUACUGGAGAGGUGAGUGGAAUUCCGAGUGUAGAGGUGAAAUUCGUAGAUAUUCGGAAGAACACCAGUGGCGAAGGCGACUCACUGGACAGUUAUUGACGCUGAGGUGCGAAAGCGUGGGGAGCAAAC